AGGAUGCGAGCGUUAUCCGGAUUUAUUGGGUUUAAAGGGAGCGCAAACGGGUUUUUCAUUCAGCUGUGAAAGUUCGGGGCUCAAACUUGAAAUUGCAGUUGAUACUGGCGACCGUGAGUGCAGUUGAGGCAGGCGGAAUUCGUGGUGUAGCGGUGAAAUGCUUAGAUAUCACGAAGAACUCCGAUUGCGAAGGCAGCUUGCUAAAGUGUAACUGACGUUUAUGCUCGAAAGUGUGGGUAUCAA
This 243-nucleotide ribosomal RNA is filed under the name uncultured bacterium. Its description in RNAcentral is "partial 16S ribosomal RNA". It matches the Rfam family "Bacterial small subunit ribosomal RNA", at positions 529 to 771 of the family's 1533-position model. The record is from RNAcentral.